AGUGAACGCUGGCGGUAGGCCUAACACAUGCAAGUCGAACGGCAGCACAGUAAGAGCUCGCUCUUACGGGUGGCGAGUGGCGGACGGGUGAGGAAUACAUCGGAAUCUACUUUUUCGUGGGGGAUAACGUAGGGAAACUUACGCUAAUACCGCAUACGACCUACGGGUGAAAGCAGGGGAUCUUCGGACCUUGCGCGAUUGAAUGAGCCGAUGUCGGAUUAGCUAGUUGGCGGGGUAAAGGCCCACCAAGGCGACGAUCCGUAGCUGGUCUGAGAGGAUGAUCAGCCACACUGGAACUGAGACACGGUCCAGACUCCUACGGGAGGCAGCAGUGGGGAAUAUUGGACAAUGGGCGCAAGCCUGAUCCGGCCAUACCGCGUGGGUGAAGAAGGCCUUCGGGUUGUAAAGCCCUUUUGUUGGGAAAGAAAAGCAGCAGGUUAAUACCCCGCUGUUCUGACGGUACCCAAAGAAUAAGCACCGGCUAACUUCGUG
RNAcentral lists this ribosomal RNA (492 nucleotides) under uncultured bacterium. Its description in RNAcentral is "partial 16S ribosomal RNA". It matches the Rfam family "Bacterial small subunit ribosomal RNA", at positions 29 to 507 of the family's 1533-position model. The record is from RNAcentral.